CCUACGGGAGGCAGCAGUGAGGAAUAUUGGUCAAUGGACGAGAGUCUGAACCAGCCAAGUAGCGUGAAGGAUGACUGCCCUAUGGGUUGUAAACUUCUUUUAUCUGGGAAUAAAAUGUUCCACGUGUGGGAUUUUGUAUGUACCAUAUGAAUAAGGAUCGGCUAACUCCGUGCCAGCAGCCGCGGUAAUACGGAGGAUCCGAGCGUUAUCCGGAUUUAGUGGGUUUAAAGGGAGCGUAGGUGGGUUGUUAAGUCAGUUGUGAAAGUUUGCGGCUCAACCGUAAAAUUGCAGUUGAAACUGGCAGUCUUGAGUACAGUAGAGGUGGGCGGAAUUCGUGGUGUAGCGGUGAAAUGCUUAGAUAUCACGAAGAACUCCGAUUGCGAAGGCAGCUCACUGGACUUCAACUGACACUGAGGCUCGAAAGUGUGGGUAUCAAACAGGAUUAGAUACCCUAGUAGUC
RNAcentral lists this ribosomal RNA (460 nucleotides) under uncultured bacterium. Its description in RNAcentral is "partial 16S ribosomal RNA". It matches the Rfam family "Bacterial small subunit ribosomal RNA", at positions 338 to 795 of the family's 1533-position model. The record is from RNAcentral.